RNAcentral lists this ribosomal RNA (253 nucleotides) under uncultured bacterium. RNAcentral's name for it is "partial 16S ribosomal RNA". It matches the Rfam family "Bacterial small subunit ribosomal RNA", at positions 524 to 776 of the family's 1533-position model. The record is from RNAcentral.
UACAGAGGGGGCAAGCGUUGUUCGGAAUUACUGGGCGUAAAGGGCGCGUAGGCGGCCUUCUAAGUCGAACGUGAAAUCCCUGGGCUCAACCCAGGAACUGCGUCCGAUACUGGAAGGCUUGAAUCCGGGAGAGGGAUGCGGAAUUCCAGGUGUAGCGGUGAAAUGCGUAGAUAUCUGGAGGAACACCGGUGGCGAAGGCGGCUCACUGGCCCGGUACUGACGCUGAGGUGCGAAAGCGUGGGGAGCAAACAGG